UACGGGGGGGCAAGCGUUGUUCGGAAUUACUGGGCGUAAAGGGCGCGUAGGCGGUUUGUUAAGUUGGAUGUGAAAACUCUGGGCUUAACCCAGAGCCUGCAUCCAAAACUAGCAGACUAGAGUUCUGGAGGGGAUAGCGGAAUUCCGGUGUAGAGGUGAAAAUUCGUAGAUAUUGGGAAGAACACCGGUGGCGAAGCGCGACCUGGUCCGAUUACUGACGCUGAGGCGCGACAG
RNAcentral lists this ribosomal RNA (234 nucleotides) under uncultured bacterium. Its description in RNAcentral is "partial 16S ribosomal RNA". It matches the Rfam family "Bacterial small subunit ribosomal RNA", at positions 524 to 759 of the family's 1533-position model. The record is from RNAcentral.